Non-coding RNA from Oryctolagus cuniculus (rabbit), 2856 nucleotides. The record is from RefSeq and is a predicted model, not a curated record. Lineage: Eukaryota; Metazoa; Chordata; Mammalia; Lagomorpha; Leporidae.
CAGUGCGCAAGCUCGAGAGUCGAGAGCCACUUCCCGGGGGGCGGGGGGCCGUGCGCAUGCGCGUUCUUCUCCGGGGUCGGUAGAGGCCUGGGUCCGAGCCUGGGAAUCCCGGCGAGGUUCGCUCGCGCCCGGCUUUCCUGGGACGGAAAUCGACGUCAGCGAUCCCCGUGGAGCCCUCGUUCUUGCCACUUGCAAAGAGAAGAGCCCCCAGUUCAUCCAGAAAUGAGGAACGAGGCAGCCUAGCGCGUGUAUCCGAAAGCCCUGGGUUCGAAUGCCGCUGCUGACUUGCAGUGUACCCCUGGACACUGCAGCUGCCCCCUCGGAGCCUCGGCUUUCCCGUCCGUAGCAGCAGUUCCGGGAUGACGGGAUGGCUUCUGAAACCCAGCUGCCUGAGCGUCCCUCCCACGGCCAAGACCUGUGUGAAAUCGAAAUCGACUGGACCUGCGGGUCGCUCAUGGAGUCUAAAGACUGAACACUCUCUCCACUUAGGAGUUUUGUAGCUUCGUCUCUCCAAGCUACCUCUUUAAAUUUCCUUAUCUGUAGAAUGGAAAUCAAAAGUAACAGAGCCAGACCUUGUGCAACAGUAGGUUAAGCUGCAGCCUGCAAUGCCAGUUCUCAUAUCAGGGUACUGGUUCAUGUCCCGGCUGGUCCACUUCCCAUCCAGCUUCCUGUUAAUGCUCCUGGGAAAGCAGCACAGGAUGGGCCAAGUACAUGGACCCCUGCACCCACUUGGGAUCCUGAUGGAGUACCUGGCUCCUGGCUUUGGCCUGGCCCAGCCCCAACCAUCAUGGUCAUUUGGAGAAUGAACCAACGGAUGGAAGAUCUCUUUCUGUACUACCUAUCUCUGUCACUCUAACUUUCAAAUAAAUACAAUAGAUCUUUUAAAAAAAAGACUGAAACAAAAAAGUCAUAACCGUUGUGAGGACUGAAUGAGCUAAUACAUAGAACUCCAUAGAAUGCAGCCAAGCAGGUGGCUAAUACUGAGUACUUACCACUGUUACUACACCUGUCAAUAAGCAGGUACUUAUGGGUGCCCAGCCUAGGCACUGGAGAUUCGGUUGUAAAAAAGCCAGAGACUCUGCCCUCAAGAAGUUAUUUGACUAUGGGUUAAAAUAAUUCUGGGGUGGGCACUGUGUAGAAGCAGGUUAAGCCACCAACGGCAAUGCCAGCAUCUCAUAUUGGAGUCUGGGUAAAGAUCUCAGCUGCCCCACUUGGGAUCAAGCUUCAUGCUAACGUGCCUGGGAAAGUAGCAGAUGAUGGCAUGAGUGAGUCCCUCCCACCCAUGUGGGAGACCCAGAUAGAAUUCAUUUUGUAAUACUAACUGAUAGAAUCAGAAAGGGAGACAACAAUCCUACAUGGGAAGCAGGAUACACAGCAGACUCAUAGAAUGGCAGAUGUCCUAAACAGCACUCUGGCCUCAGAAUCAGCCCUUAAGGCAUUCGGAUCCGACUGAAGAGCCCAUGAGAGUAUUUUAGGCAUGGAAAGCCAAGACACACUGGGGGAAAAAAAAAAAAAAGAAGAAGAAAACCUAAAUGAAAGAUCUCUACGGGUGAGAUCCCAGUGAAAAGAAUGGGGCCAUCAAAGAAGGAGGUACCUUUCUCUGAAGGGAGGAGAGAACUUCCACUUUGACUGUGACCCUGUUGGAAUAAGAUCGAAGUCGGCAAACCCAAAAGGCUUCCAUAGCCUUGGCAACUCAUGACUAGAGCCUAGGGAGAUUACUGAUGCCAUAAACAAGAGUGUCAAAUUGUUAAAUCAACAACAGGAGUCACUGUGUACUUACUUCUCAUGUGGGAUCUGUCCUUAAUGUGUUGUCCAAUGUGAAGUAAUGCUAUAACUAGUACUGAAACAGUAUUUUUACACUUUGUGUUUCUGUGUGGGUGCAAACUGUUGAAAUCUUUACUUAAUAUAUACUGAAUCGAUCUUCUGUAUAUAAAGAGAAUUGAAAAUGAAUCUUGAUGUGAAUGGAAUGGGAGGGAGUGGGGGAUGGGAGGGGUGUGAGUGGGAGGGAAAUAUGGGGGAGAAAGCCAAUGUAAUCCAUAAACUGUACUUUGGAAAUUUAUAUUUACUAAAUAAAAAAUAAAUUAUUUAUUUAUUAUUUAUUUGAAAUAGUUACAUGUAGAAGGAGAGGCAAAGAGAGAUCAUCCAUCCGCUGGUUCACUCCACAGUUGGCCACAACGGCUGGAGCUGUGCCAAUCUGAAGACAGGAACCAGGAGCUGCUUCUAGGUCUCCCACGUGGGUGCAGGGGCCCAAGGACUUGGGCCAUCUUCUACUGCUCUCCCAGGACAUAGCAGAGAGCUGGAUUGAAAGUGGAGCAGCCGGGAGUUGAACCAGCACCCUUAUGGGAUGCUAGCACUACAGGUGGCCGCCUACCUGCUACGCCACAGCACCUGCCCCCAGAUAGAAUUCUUGGCUCUUGGUCUCACCAGGUCCAGCCCCUGCCAAUGUGGCUAUUUGAGGAGUGAGUCAGCAAAUGAAAGCUUUGCUCACUUGCUCUCGCUCGCUCGCUCUCUGCCUUUCAAGUAAAUAAAUUUUAAAGAAUAAAAUAUGAGUUCCUCUGACAAGCUGGCAUGCUGGGAAAUAAGGUAAGAUUUCAAGGACAGAGUUGAGGGCCCAGUGGAGAAUGGAGACCCUUAACUUAGGGGUUAUUAAUAUAAUGGUCUGUGUGUUUUUCCUGUAGUGAACUUGAGCACUUAACAUAGAAGCACAGCAAAAAGUGGAAAAUUGGAUUAAUCCAAGGAAGAGGCUUCCCCAGGCAGGUGUGAUGGGGGUCGAGAAAUUUAAGAUCUCACCUUUUAACAGUGCCUAAAACAAAUGGCCACAGAAUGACUUUCCAAUGAAUAAAUGCAUAAGAUCUU